This 398-nucleotide ribosomal RNA is filed under the name Tegenaria domestica. RNAcentral describes it as "partial 16S ribosomal RNA". Lineage: Eukaryota; Metazoa; Arthropoda; Arachnida; Araneae; Agelenidae. The record is from RNAcentral.
CUCAAUGAAAUAUUUAAUAGCCGCAAAUAUUUUUGUGCUAAGGUAGCAUAAUCAUUUGCCUUUUAAUUAAAGGCUAGAACGAAAGAUUUAACAUUUACAUUUCUAUUUUAAAUUCAUUUAUUUAAUCUCUCUUAAAUAUAAAAAGAUAUUUAUGAUACAAAAAGACGAUAAGACCCUAUUGAACUUAACUUUAGUUAAACUGGGGAAGUUAAUCAAAUAUAAUUUUAAUUUCAUUAAUCUUUAAAAAAUCUAAUUUAAUUAAAUUUUCAAUCAAGUUACCAUAGGGAUAACAGCGUAAUAAUUUUCAUAAGAUCUUAUUUAAAAAAUAAUUUGCGACCUCGAUGUUGAAUUAAUAACCUUUUAAAUGCAAAAAUUUAAAAAGGAAGUCUGUUCGACUU